Hordeum vulgare subsp. vulgare (domesticated barley) is the source of this 589-nucleotide long non-coding RNA. RefSeq lists it as uncharacterized. The transcript has 3 exons. NCBI's taxonomy places the organism in Eukaryota, Viridiplantae, Streptophyta, Magnoliopsida, Poales, Poaceae. The record is from RefSeq and is a predicted model, not a curated record.
AACAGGUGGAGUCGGGGAGGCAUGACGGUAGACAUGUGGAUGUUAUCGUGGCAUUGACACAUUUUGCUCCACCGACACUGCAUACCAACGCAGCUAUACUUUUGCAACAGUCAAGAGGGAAGUCUGCACUCAUUUUCUGUUCUACAAGAAAAGGUGCACAAGAAGCAGCACAAUACCUCUCAAGAAGUGCAGUCUCUUGGCUAUUGAACAAAUUCAUUAAUGAAAUCGAUGCAGCAGUACGAAAAUCUAUGAGAAGCUUCCUUAACCUGUAGUUGUUGUUCAUUGCUUCAUACCAUCUAUGAAGCAAACAAAAGGACUUCACUCCCAUGGAAUCAUGAAGCCAUUGAUCUACGUCAACUAGAUGUUUUAGAUUUCAUUUUGUACAACAGAUGUCUCAUGCAUGCAUUUUUUACAUGUACUUUUGUGAAUUGUAUGCUCACUUUGUACAACUUAUGUCUCAUACAUGCACCUUUUACCAAUCCUUUUGUGAACAGGAUGUAUGGUAUCUGAGUAGUUAUGUUUAGAACAGACUUAAGUGUGUGUAUGUGACAAAUAGUUAUUGGAAUAAAAAAUGUUUGCUGGACCUGAA